CGCGACCUAUGCAAACGGUAGUCGGUCCACUAGACGCUCCGUAACACUAGUUUCUAGUUUAGGCAGAGAAGGGCAACCCGGCCGGAGGAAUCUUCAUGGGACGUUCACUAUCAUCUCCAGCUCAAGCUAGUGGCGGAGGGACACCCGAAGGUUGCCCUCGGCUUUAACCAAACCAAAAUGGUUAGCAUAUCGUGGUAUAAUAUAAAUCAAGACAUCUUCAUUCGUGAAACAAUCUUCAAGGAUCGAGUUAAUAAAUCGCAGUGUUCUAUGUAAAAUUAUCUAUCGAACAUCUGAUGUGACAAGAGUUUUAAUAAAUUCCAUUCGAUUUGAAUUUUCAAUCGAUAUAACACAGAACAAAAGGAUGAUCUAUAAUCGAUUAUGUCAAUCAAGAUAAAAUAUUUAUCGAUUAUCGAUUAUAUCUAUGAUUGCUUAUUUCAAAUAUUUACUUAAUAAAAAAAUAAAAAGAAAAAACGAUGACAUGUAUUAUUUAAAAUAUAAUAUGUGAAAACAACAUUUAUAAA
Apis cerana (Asiatic honeybee) is the source of this 521-nucleotide long non-coding RNA. RefSeq lists it as uncharacterized. The record is from RefSeq and is a predicted model, not a curated record. Lineage: Eukaryota; Metazoa; Arthropoda; Insecta; Hymenoptera; Apidae.